Puntigrus tetrazona (Sumatra barb) is the source of this 1053-nucleotide long non-coding RNA. RefSeq lists it as uncharacterized. The transcript has 3 exons. Lineage: Eukaryota; Metazoa; Chordata; Actinopteri; Cypriniformes; Cyprinidae. The record is from RefSeq and is a predicted model, not a curated record.
GAAAGUGAAAGCACUCGGAUCAGGAACGACGGGCCUCGUGGAAUCAAGAGAGUCUCGGUUUGCUUGCUGCGAGACGUUUUUCAUUUUGUUGUCGUUUUCCGUUUUUCUGCUAAAACAUUCAGAAUGAUGUUUCAGGUCAACAUAGUCUAUAACAAAAUGAACAAAAUUUUCUCUGACAGUGUCAGAUUCAGAGGUGAAGUUUAACAACACAACCAUCUUAGAACUAAAGAAGAAACUCAGACAUCGGAUCCCUGGAGCACCUGACCCACACUUUUUAGGGCUGAUGUUUGCGGGGAUCUAUCUCGAAGAACAACGCACUCUUCAGGAUUAUGGAAUUAAACAUUUAAGUCAUCUUCUCUUGGUGAUGAAAAUGUCUGGUGGAGGCCCUCCUCCUCCCGAUGAACGAUUCCCCAGAUCUGAAUCCAUGGAAAGAUUGAGUUUCAGUAUGUAGAUGUAUUAGUGUGUAGCCAUCCUUUCAGAUUUAGAGUUAUUUGAUAUGUAAUAUAUAAUAUGUAAAAAAGCUGCUUUUUAUUUCCAUAUAUUUUAAAAUGUAACUGAUGGCUGUGGUCAACCCUGAAUUUUCAGCAUCAUAGAUCAUAGCUUUUUUGAGCAGAAUCACUUCUGAAGGAUUGUGUGAAUGGUAACGUAUCUCUCCUUUCCCAUAAGUACAUUUUUAAUGAUAUCUACACAGAGUUUCUAAGGUACAUAAUAUUGAUCACAGUAAUUGUACCUUUCGGUGAUAUUGAAACAAUUUUUUUAUUCUUUGAUUGUUCAUUUAGUAAAGCCUUUUGGUUUGGUACAUUUGAGCGGCUUUAAGUUUCAAUCAUUUUUGGUUUAGUAAUGCAAGAUGUACUUAUUCAGUUUGCAUCGAAUUUUAUUUUAAUAUUCGGGUUAAUUCUGGUCGUAAACGUAAAUGACUCAAAACAAAGCCGCUGUUUUCUGUGUUUCAAAAAUAAUUUUGGGUGUAUUGUAAAUGUAUAAGAUUUGUCAAAUGAAAAGCUGGAAGAAGAAUUCGUAGUUUGUUGCAGAAAUAAAAAUAAUAAUAAUAAUCAA